This 253-nucleotide ribosomal RNA is filed under the name uncultured bacterium. RNAcentral describes it as "partial 16S ribosomal RNA". It matches the Rfam family "Bacterial small subunit ribosomal RNA", at positions 524 to 776 of the family's 1533-position model. The record is from RNAcentral.
UACGAAGGGGGCUAGCGUUGCUCGGAAUCACUGGGCGUAAAGGGUGCGUAGGCGGGGCUUUAAGUCAGGGGGGAAAUCCUGGAGCUCAACUCCAGAACUGCCUUUGAUACUGAAGAUCUUGAGUUCGGGAGAGGUGAGUGGAACUGCGAGUGUAGAGGUGAAAUUCGUAGAUAUUCGCAAGAACACCAGUGGCGAAGGCGGCUCACUGGUCCGAUACUGACGCUGAGGCACGAAAGCGUGGGGAGCAAACAGG